This 490-nucleotide ribosomal RNA is filed under the name uncultured bacterium. Its description in RNAcentral is "bacterial SSU rRNA". It matches the Rfam family "Bacterial small subunit ribosomal RNA", at positions 30 to 518 of the family's 1533-position model. The record is from RNAcentral.
UGAACGCUGGCGGCGUGCCUAAUACAUGCAAGUCGAGCGAGGUAGCUUGCUACCUAGCGGCGAACGGGUGAGUAACACGUAGGUAACCUGCCUUAAGACUGGGAUACCCGGACGAAAGUUCGGCUAAUACCGGAUAACAACGGAGAUGGCAUCUUCUCCGCUUGAAAGGUGCGUUUGCACCACUUUUAGAUGGACCUGCGGCACAUUAGCUAGUUGGUGAGAUAACAGCCCACCAAGGCGAGGAUGUGUAGCCGACCUGAGAGGGUGACCGGCCACAAUGGGACUGAGACACGGCCCAUACUCCUACGGGAGGCAGCAGUAGGGAGUUUUCGGCAAUGGGCGAAAGCCAGACCGAGCAACGCCGCGUGAGUGAUGAAGGUCUUCGGAUUGUAAAGCUCUGUUGCGAGGGACGAAACGUACGAUCAGGAAAUGGGUCGUAUUUGACUAUACCUCGCCAGAAAGUGACGGCUAACUACGUGCCAGCCGCCGC